AUGAUACGCGAGGAACCUUACCUGGGCUCGAACGUAAGAUGACUGUAGGUGAAAGCUUACAUCUCUUCGGAGCAUUUUACGAGGUGCUGCAUGGUUGUCGUCAGCUCGUGCCGUGAGGUGUCGGGUUAAGUCCCAUAACGAGCGCAACCCCUACCUUUAGUUGCCAUCAGGUUAAGCUGGGGACUCUAAAGGAACUGCCUACGCAAGUAGUGAGGAAGCGGGGAUGACGUCAAAUCAGCACGGCCCUUACGUCCAGGGCUACACACGUGCUACAAUGGCCGAUACAGAGGGCAGCUACCUGGUGACAGGAUGCAAAUCUCCAAAGUCGGUCUCAGUUCGGAUCGGAGUCUGCAACCCGACUCCGUGAAGUUGGAUUCGCUAGUAAUCGCGCAUCAGCCAUGGCGCGGUGAAUACGUUCCCGGGCCUU
Molecule: ribosomal RNA, 427 nt
Filed under: uncultured Sphingobacteriales bacterium
Lineage: Bacteria; Pseudomonadati; Bacteroidota; Sphingobacteriia; Sphingobacteriales
Description: bacterial SSU rRNA
Rfam family: Bacterial small subunit ribosomal RNA
Source: RNAcentral